This 646-nucleotide ribosomal RNA is filed under the name Enterococcus sp. RNAcentral's name for it is "bacterial SSU rRNA". It matches the Rfam family "Bacterial small subunit ribosomal RNA", at positions 72 to 690 of the family's 1533-position model. Lineage: Bacteria; Bacillati; Bacillota; Bacilli; Lactobacillales; Enterococcaceae. The record is from RNAcentral.
UUUUUCCACCGGAGCUUGCUCCACCGGAAAAAGAAGAGUGGCGAACGGGUGAGUAACACGUGGGUAACCUGCCCAUCAGAAGGGGAUAACACUUGGAAACAGGUGCUAAUACCGUAUAACAAUCGAAACCGCAUGGUUUUGAUUUGAAAGGCGCUUUCGGGUGUCGCUGAUGGAUGGACCCGCGGUGCAUUAGCUAGUUGGUGAGGUAACGGCUCACCAAGGCCACGAUGCAUAGCCGACCUGAGAGGGUGAUCGGCCACAUUGGGACUGAGACACGGCCCAAACUCCUACGGGAGGCAGCAGUAGGGAAUCUUCGGCAAUGGACGAAAGUCUGACCGAGCAACGCCGCGUGAGUGAAGAAGGUUUUCGGAUCGUAAAACUCUGUUGUUAGAGAAGAACAAGGAUGAGAGUAACUGUUCAUCCCUUGACGGUAUCUAACCAGAAAGCCACGGCUAACUACGUGCCAGCAGCCGCGGUAAUACGUAGGUGGCAAGCGUUGUCCGGAUUUAUUGGGCGUAAAGCGAGCGCAGGCGGUUUCUUAAGUCUGAUGUGAAAGCCCCCGGCUCAACCGGGGAGGGUCAUUGGAAACUGGGAGACUUGAGUGCAGAAGAGGAGAGUGGAAUUCCAUGUGUAGCGGUGAAAUGCG